Molecule: ribosomal RNA, 274 nt
Filed under: uncultured bacterium
Lineage: Bacteria
Description: partial 16S ribosomal RNA
Rfam family: Bacterial small subunit ribosomal RNA
Source: RNAcentral
AUACGGAGGGGGCUAGCGUUGUUCGGAAUUACUGGGCGUAAAGCGUCCGCAGGCGGAUAAUUAAGUUAGAGGUGAAAUCCCAGGGCUCAACCCUGGAACUGCCUUUAAAACUGGUUGUCUAGAGUUAUGGAGAGGUAAGUGGAAUUCCUAGUGUAGAGGUGAAAUUCGUAGAUAUUAGGAGGAACACCAGAGGCGAAGGCGGCUAACUGGACAUAUACUGACGCUGAGGGACGAAAGUGUGGGGAGCGAACGGGAUUAGAAACCCUAGUAGUCC